RNAcentral lists this transfer RNA (72 nucleotides) under Apaloderma vittatum (bar-tailed trogon). It matches the Rfam family "tRNA". Rfam says of the family: Transfer RNA (tRNA) molecules are approximately 80 nucleotides in length. The record is from Rfam by way of RNAcentral. Lineage: Eukaryota; Metazoa; Chordata; Aves; Trogoniformes; Trogonidae.
GGCCGGUUAGCUCAGUCAGUUGAGCGUAGCGCUAACAACGCUAAUGUCAUAGGUUCGAUUCCCAUUCGGUCC